AUUGAACGCUGGCGGCAGGCUUAACACAUGCAAGUCGAGCGGAGCGAGGGUGCUUGCACCUUAGCUUAGCGGCGGACGGGUGAGUAAUGCUUAGGAAUCUGCCUAUUAGUGGGGGACAACAUUUCGAAAGGAAUGCUAAUACCGCAUACGUCCUACGGGAGAAAGCAGGGGAUCUUCGGACCUUGCGCUAAUAGAUGAGCCUAAGUCGGAUUAGCUAGUUGGUGGGGUAAAGGCCUACCAAGGCGACGAUCUGUAGCGGGUCUGAGAGGAUGAUCCGCCACACUGGGACUGAGACACGGCCCAGACUCCUACGGGAGGCAGCAGUGGGGAAUAUUGGACAAUAGGGGGAACCCUGAUCCAGCCAUGCCGCGUGUGUGAAGAAGGCCUUAUGGUUGUAAAGCACUUUAAGCGAGGAGGAGGCUCUUUUGGUUAAUACCCAAGAUGAGUGGACGUUACUCGCAGAAUAAGCACCGGCUAACUCUGUGCCAGCCGCCGCUGUAA
Molecule: ribosomal RNA, 501 nt
Filed under: uncultured bacterium
Lineage: Bacteria
Description: partial 16S ribosomal RNA
Rfam family: Bacterial small subunit ribosomal RNA
Source: RNAcentral